RNAcentral lists this ribosomal RNA (654 nucleotides) under uncultured bacterium. RNAcentral describes it as "bacterial SSU rRNA". It matches the Rfam family "Bacterial small subunit ribosomal RNA", at positions 187 to 829 of the family's 1533-position model. The record is from RNAcentral.
CGCAUGAUGUUCAUGUAAAAGACGGCUUUUGCUGUCACUUUUGGAUGGGCUGCGGCGUAUUAACUUGUUGGUGGGGUAACGGCCUACCAAGGUGAUGAUACGUAGCCGAACUGAGAGGUUGAUCGGCCACAUUGGGACUGAGACACGGCCCAAACUCUACGGGAGGCAGCAGUAGGGAAUCUUCCACAAUGGACGAAAGUCUGAUGGAGCAACGCCGCGUGAAUGAAGAAGGCCUUCGGGUCGUAAAAUUCUGUUGUCAGAGAAGAACGUGCGUGAGAGUAACUGUUCACGUAUUGACGGUAUCUGACCAGAAAGCCACGGCUAACUACGUGCCAGCAGCCGCGGUAAUACGUAGGUGGCGAGCGUUGUCCGGAUUUAUUGGGCGUAAAGGGAACGCAGGCGGUCUUUUAAGUCUGAUGUGAAAGCCUUCGGCUUAACCGAAGUAGUGCAUUGGAAACUGGAAGACUUGAGUGCAGAAGAGGAAAGUGGAACUCCAUGUGUAGCGGUGAAAUGCGUAGAUAUAUGGAAGAACACCAGUGGCGAAAGCGGCUCUCUGGUCUGUAACUGACGCUGAGGUUCGAAAGCGUGGGUAGCAAACAGGAUUAGAUACCCUGGUAGUCCACGCCGUAAACGAUGAGUGCUAAGUGUUGGAGG